This is a long non-coding RNA of Vigna radiata var. radiata (mung bean), 1147 nucleotides long. RefSeq lists it as uncharacterized. Lineage: Eukaryota; Viridiplantae; Streptophyta; Magnoliopsida; Fabales; Fabaceae. The record is from RefSeq and is a predicted model, not a curated record. The transcript has 3 exons.
CUCGACUUCUCUAUCUUCAACUCCUUCGUCACUUUCCAAUCCCUAAUUUCCUCAUCUUCUCCUCUUCCAAAUCCCUAAUUUCGAAAACCCAAGCAUCAGGAGUUCACGAACUCACACCUCUCCUACGACAGCGAGUUCUCGCAAGCGGUGGAAUAGAAGUAGGUGGCGCAGCAAGAGGCUGAGCGGUCCAAGUUCGUUGUGAUGAAGGCCGAGCAGGAGCGACAGGCUGUGAUUAUCCGUGCCGAGGGAGAGAGCGAUGCGGCAAAGCUAAUCUCUGACACUACUACCUCGGUUGAAAUUUACAAAUAUUCUUACUUAAAUUUUUUUCCCUAUUGCAGAAUAAAUUUAGAUGUUCCUGAAAGAUACCGGAAUUGUGCAUCAAAAAAGCAGUGCUACUGAAAGUUUCAAUCCUUCAAAGCUCAGGAGGAAUGCUUAUGCUGCAUCUGAUAUAAGUAGCAUUGUUUCCCAGAGGUAACACAACUCACUUAUGCCAGAGGGAGGCUUCAGUUCCAUGACUUGUGAAUAAUGAAAGAAUCUGAUAAAGCAUAAGCGAGACCAACAUAAAGGCUUCAAAUGGUGCUGCUUUGGCAAGGUUAUUGCACGACACUUUGUUUUUUAACAUCGUUUUCGAGGCACAUUUGCUCUGCUCAGCUAGUUUAGUACUUGACUUAGCAAGCUUUGUGGAAGAUGAAAAUGCAUAUCAGUUUUUGCUUCAACCACCAAAUGCAUCAACAUUCAUUGGAAACACAGUAAGCAUGCACUACAAUGGUUUUAUAUAUUCUUACCGAUAUGUCAUUUACAUGACAUGUCAUGAUGUUGUGCUAAAUUUCCCUCAAAGUACACCUACAAAAUCACGGCUAUUACCUGCGGCUUUUACAAAACCACGGCUAUUUCCGGCGGUUUUUACAAAACCCCUACUAUUUCUGGCAGUUUUUACAAAACCCCGGGUAAUUGCAGCGGUUUUUGAAAAAACCGGUGGUAAUUUUUAACGACGCCGUUUUUACCCGCGUUUUUUCAACCACAAGAAACACAUUUUCCAGGGGUUAUAACCGUUGGUAAUGCUAAAAAUAACCCCUGGAAAAAUUGUACAUUUUUGUAGUGUGUGAGGGCUAAAUUUGUCUCAGUUAGACAUAAGAGUAGAGGCAUA